Amphimedon queenslandica is the source of this 1410-nucleotide long non-coding RNA. RefSeq lists it as uncharacterized. NCBI's taxonomy places the organism in Eukaryota, Metazoa, Porifera, Demospongiae, Haplosclerida, Niphatidae. The record is from RefSeq and is a predicted model, not a curated record. The transcript is spliced from 3 exons.
AAUACAAAAUAGCUAUGGUCAACAUGGGUGGGCGCGGCUAGGUUUUAUGGGCGUGGUUUAACUUUAUGAUGGCUGCUUGCAAGCUCUAUACAAAGAAGAAUUUCUAAUAAUUUAUCUUCACAAUAUAUGCUGAUGGAACUUAGCUGUGAUAGGAACCACAUCUUUUAUAUAUUUUUUAAAGCUUAAAGGACUUUGGAACUUUCCCUAUCUCCACCUCAGUCAAAAAGACCCUGUAUUCAUACAGCCUCCCAGGCUAGUAUAUAAGUUCAUAUUGCUCUCUGAUCUGGUGCCCCUAUCUUGUUAAAGACUUCAAACUAUUCUAAUAAGUUCAGCAGAUGGUUACAAAGUACAUUUUGAAUGCACAACCAGACAAUAGAUUUUAAUAUCUAGUGACAGUGAUGAUGAGCUUCCUUCGUUUCUUCCUUUUUACAAUUGUCACUAUUACCCAUCGCUUCUACCCCUACUGAGUCACCUACCCCCUAACCUGUUGUUAAUCAAACAUUACAUAUUUUACAGUGUUAUCAAACUCAAUGCUGGUUAUUAGGAUGAGAUAUUGAAUACAGUUAACAGCUCAGCUCUUAAUGUAAAUACAGAUAACAGUUCCACUUGAGUGCCAACUGAUGUAACUUUGUGAGUUAACAUUAUGCAUGAAUCAAAGUGAUAGAGAGAAUAUUUGGCAUGAUAUUUUUAAUAGUGUAUCUGAAGUUAUGUUUCAUGUCCAUUGAUGCAAGAUGUCUUUCAUGUGCAUGACUAUAAGAAGAUCUAACAUUUUGAGAUCCACCCUGUGUGGCUAUAGCAGGAGAUCUUUUUACCUAAUAAAAUGCUUGUAGUAAUUGUGUGUAUGUGUCUUUGUGCAUGCAUGGUAAUAGUUAUUUGUGUAUUUUAGUAUUCAAUUUGUUUUAGGUUAAGUAUCUUGGUAAAGCAGGUUAUGAUAGAGGUGGUCUUUGAAGGGAGUUUUUUAUGACUUAGCAUAUGGCAUCAAGUCUUCUCUUUUUAAUUAGCAGGAACAAUUCAUUUCUCAUAAGGCAUGACAUAUUGCUUUGCAGAGCCUAGAGUAAUAGUUUGAAAAGAUAGGAUUCCUUAUGUCAAUGGCACUGGCUCAGGAUGGUACUGGUUUUUGUUUUUGCUUAUAUAUUUGUGGCAUAGAGCCUAGAGGUUGAUAGGAAGCAGUUCCUGACUAUGAAGUAUCUAUUUUUAACAAAGAUAAAAGAGAUUCACAAUGAUGCCUCUUUAAGGGAGAUGGUAAUCAUUGAUAUUGUCUCACUCCAUUACACCAUCCUGCAUUGCACUGCUGAGUUGGAUCAAUUGAAGAAGGGCCUCUCAUCACUCGGCAUCUUGUAUAUUAUUAAUCAUAAUUCCAGUAUAAUGGCUCUUCAGUAGCCCUGAUAAUUGGUGGUUAACAGCAGGUAA